AAAUUGAAGAGUUUGAUCAUGGCUCAGAUUGAACGCUGGCGGCAGGCCUAACACAUGCAAGUCGAGCGGUAACACAGAGGAGCUCGCUCCUUGGGUGACGAGCGGCGGACGGGUGAGUAAUGCCUGGGGAUCUGCCCGAUAGAGGGGGAUAACUACGGG
This 159-nucleotide ribosomal RNA is filed under the name Plesiomonas shigelloides. Its description in RNAcentral is "partial 16S ribosomal RNA". It matches the Rfam family "Bacterial small subunit ribosomal RNA", at positions 1 to 153 of the family's 1533-position model. The record is from RNAcentral. Lineage: Bacteria; Pseudomonadati; Pseudomonadota; Gammaproteobacteria; Enterobacterales; Enterobacteriaceae.